AACGAACGCUGGCGGCAGGCCUAACACAUACAAGUCGAGCGAGGACUUCGGUUCUAGCGGCGGACGGGUGAGUAACGCGUGGGAAUGUGCCCUUCUCUACGGAAUAGCCCUGGGAAACUGGGAGUAAUACCGUAUACGCCCUAUUGGGGAAAGAUUUAUCGGAGAAGGAUCAGCCCGCGUUGGAUUAGGUAGUUGGUGGGGUAAUGGCCUACCAAGCCGACGAUCCAUAGCUGGUUUGAGAGGAUGAUCAGCCACACUGGGACUGAGACACGGCCCAGACUCCUACGGGAAGCAGCAGUGGGGAAUCUUAGACAAUGGGGGCAACCCUGAUCUAGCCAUGCCGCGUGAGUGAUGAAGGCCUUAGGGUUGUAAAGCUCUUUCAGCUGGGAAGAUAAUGACGGUACCAGCAGAAGAAGCCCCGGCUAACUCCGUG
This 433-nucleotide ribosomal RNA is filed under the name uncultured bacterium. Its description in RNAcentral is "partial 16S ribosomal RNA". It matches the Rfam family "Bacterial small subunit ribosomal RNA", at positions 29 to 507 of the family's 1533-position model. The record is from RNAcentral.